Molecule: ribosomal RNA, 631 nt
Filed under: Acmaea mitra (whitecap limpet)
Lineage: Eukaryota; Metazoa; Mollusca; Gastropoda; Acmaeidae
Description: partial 16S ribosomal RNA
Rfam family: Bacterial large subunit ribosomal RNA
Source: RNAcentral
GUUUUAUGUUAAUUCCACGGGGAGGUCACACCUGCACAAUGGCCUACGGGUUCAAUUGCCGCGGUAACCUGACCGUGCAAAGGUAGCGUAAUCAAUAGCCUAUUAAUUGUUGGCCGGUAUGAAUGGUACGACGCUGGUGGCGCUGUCUCAACUGCAUUAAUUUGAAUUUAACCUCUGGGUGAAAAGGCCCAGAUAGAUCUGAAAGACGAUUAGACCCUGUCGAACUUUAGGUAGAGUGGCUGCCAUGAUAUCAGUAAUAUGAUAGUAUUUGUUUUGCAAUCAAACCUUUGGUUGGGGUAACCGGGGACUAAGAAAAACGCCCCCCCUACAUUGAAAGUUGACACCCGUUUAGAUAGGGGUAAUAGUGACUUUACCCUUAGGGCAAUUGGCCUUCAGGAUAGUAAGAUUACUUAAUAAAAAAAAAUCUGACAAGAUAUGAUUUACUUAAAAAAUGAACCUAAAGAACUAGUUAUCAGUGAGCUGUUAAAAGGGAAGAGUUACCGCAGGGAUAACAGCGUAAUCUUCCCGGCGAGACCACAUUAAGGGGAGGGUUUGCGACCUCGAUGUUGGCUUAGGGCUUCCUAGAAGUGCAGGGGCUUUUAAGGGUUGGUCUGUUCGACCCAUUAAAGCC